This 483-nucleotide ribosomal RNA is filed under the name uncultured bacterium. Its description in RNAcentral is "partial 16S ribosomal RNA". It matches the Rfam family "Bacterial small subunit ribosomal RNA", at positions 29 to 506 of the family's 1533-position model. The record is from RNAcentral.
AUUGAACGCUGGCGGCAUGCCUUACACAUGCAAGUCGAACGGCAGCACGGGGGCAACCCUGGUGGCGAGUGGCGAACGGGUGAGUAAUACAUCGGAACGUGUCCUGUAGUGGGGGAUAGCCCGGCGAAAGCCGGAUUAAUACCGCAUACGCUCUACGGAGGAAAGGGGGGGAUCUUAGGACCUCCCGCUACAGGGGCGGCCGAUGGCAGAUUAGCUAGUUGGUGGGGUAAAGGCCUACCAAGGCGACGAUCUGUAGCUGGUCUGAGAGGACGACCAGCCACACUGGGACUGAGACACGGCCCAGACUCCUACGGGAGGCAGCAGUGGGGAAUUUUGGACAAUGGGGGCAACCCUGAUCCAGCAAUGCCGCGUGUGUGAAGAAGGCCUUCGGGUUGUAAAGCACUUUUGUCCGGAAAGAAAACGCCGUGGUUAAGACCCGUGGCGGAUGACGGUACCGGAAGAAUAAGCACCGGCUAACUACGU